Molecule: ribosomal RNA, 810 nt
Organism: Enterocytozoon bieneusi H348
Lineage: Eukaryota; Fungi; Microsporidia; Enterocytozoonidae
Rfam family: Eukaryotic large subunit ribosomal RNA
Source: Rfam
GGACUCAGCAGGAACGGCUGACAGCAGCGGAAGAAGACCUGUGAGCUGACUCUAGCAAGCACAGCCUCUGUGACUAUAUCGUAGCGAGUGGAGAAAAGUGAGACCACUGACAUAGUCGGCGGGGGCACUCGCAAAGCUGGUGGGGAGUUUGGCUGGGGCGGCACGACUACUAAAACAUAACGUAGACGUCCAAAGGUAAGCUCCGAGGGGAUGGAAACCACUCCGAGAGUAUAAGGGCAAAAGCUUGCUUUAGUUAUUAAUGUAAAUUAAUAAUACUGGAAACAGGGGCCUAGAGAUCCUCUAUGAAACUAAGCAUAGAGGUGACGGAAAAGUUACCACAGGGAUAACUGGCUUGUGGCGGCCGAGCGUCCAUAGCGACGCCGCUUUUUGAUUCUUCGAUGUCGGCUCUUCCGAGCAUGGUGGAGUAUCAGCCACCAAGUGUGUGAUUGUUCACCAACUAACAGGGAACGUGAGCUGGGUUUAGACCGUCGCGAGACAGGUUAGUUUUACCCUACUGCAUCGCGUCCGAGAGUAGGUCGGGGCAGUACGAGAGGAAGUGCCGAUCAGAACCGCUGGUGAUACUUUCGUCUGUUAAGGCGCGAAGUGUAGCUACGUUCUUCUUAUAAUAGCUGAAAGCCUCUAAGCUAGAAUGAGUACUUAAGGACGCAAAGAUAUGAAGACUACAUAUGUAAGGAUGAGGGUUGUACGAUAUAAGCUUCUGCGAGUAUUUCAGACCACUUAUUUCCUUUUUUAGAACAUGCUUGCUCGGAUACAUACAGGAAUUCCGGGGAAAGGAAAAAUUUUUUUUAU